Molecule: ribosomal RNA, 650 nt
Filed under: Streptomyces tendae
Lineage: Bacteria; Bacillati; Actinomycetota; Actinomycetes; Kitasatosporales; Streptomycetaceae
Description: bacterial SSU rRNA
Rfam family: Bacterial small subunit ribosomal RNA
Source: RNAcentral
UGGUAGCAUGGGCGAAGCCUGNUGCACGUUUCCCCGUGAGGGAUGACGGCCUUCGGCUUGUAAACCUCUUUCAGCAGGGAAGAAGCGAAAGUGACGGUACCUGCAGAAGAAGCGCCGGCUAACUACGUGCCAGCAGCCGCGGUAAUACGUAGGGCGCAAGCGUUGUCCGGAAUUAUUGGGCGUAAAGAGCUCGUAGGCGGCUUGUCGCGUCGGUUGUGAAAGCCCGGGGCUUAACCCCGGGUCUGCAGUCGAUACGGGCAGGCUAGAGUUCGGUAGGGGAGAUCGGAAUUCCUGGUGUAGCGGUGAAAUGCGCAGAUAUCAGGAGGAACACCGGUGGCGAAGGCGGAUCUCUGGGCCGAUACUGACGCUGAGGAGCGAAAGCGUGGGGAGCGAACAGGAUUAGAUACCCUGGUAGUCCACGCCGUAAACGGUGGGCACUAGGUGUGGGCAACAUUCCACGUUGUCCGUGCCGCAGCUAACGCAUUAAGUGCCCCGCCUGGGGAGUACGGCCGCAAGGCUAAAACUCAAAGGAAUUGACGGGGGCCCGCACAAGCGGCGGAGCAUGUGGCUUAAUUCGACGCAACGCGAAGAACCUUACCAAGGCUUGACAUACACCGGAAAGCAUCAGAGAUGGUGCCCCCCUUGUGGUC